AAUGGAAAUUUUUACCUAAAUAACAGAAAAGGGGUGUAUUUUUUUAUACUUAAGAAACUAAUGGAAAAAUUUCUCUGCAAGAGAGCAUUCAGGAGGAGAAACAAAACUUUUUUUGAUUUUAGUUAAGGAGAUUUUUGUACUAAGAAACAUUUUAGAAUAAAACCGAUAUUGGCAAACAUUCAAAAAAAAAAAACAGAGGAGUAUUUCAUCCAAGAAAACAUUUCACCGGUUCACGAACUUCUUUUUCUUCUAUAAAUUCUUGUUGGCAUGUCUUAAAACAUUAAGAUAAUGCAUUAAUUUAUUAACAGAUUUUAACAUAUAACCAAAGUGACAGAAGAAAUCCGCAAAAGCGGAAAUGGCGAGUUCGUAACUAUUAUUCAAAAUUAGCAGGUCAGAUACCCCGGAACAUUAAUUUAAAAAAAAUGUGUGUAUAAUAAAUAUAUACAGACAAGAAAACGAAUUAAAAUUGAGCAACAUCAUCAAAUAGGAGAAGGGCGUCUAAAAUCGUCACUAACGUUAGGUACGUAUAUCAGUUCUACCAAUACCAGACGAGCUUACAGACUGACAGCAUUACCAUGACCUCCUUUACUUUCCCCUGACCCGUUUUCCGUAGGUUCAGCGAUCUUCUGCCAUCAGCUGAGUAGAAAUUGGGUCAAAUUUGCUGCACUUCCCUUAGCGGCGACACGCGUUCACUCUCACUUUCCAAAAAGUCAUGAGACUGACAAACUCACCACAGGAUAUGUGGGCAAUGCCUGCUACUAUCAGAACUUCGUCAGAUACGAGAGAACCUUCUCACUCUCCAAACAAACAGCUUCGUUAUCACUUGGAUAGCCCUGUUAUGCAGGCUCCACCAUCGCCGGCAAUGUUUCCGAAUCAGAGCCCUUCCGAUUUAUCACCGGUCGUCACCACCACAGGAUGGACGUCGCCUACCACCGUGGCUCAUCUGGGUGUGGACCUAACGAGCCUGAAGAGCAAAGAGCUGUUUCCUCAACGUAAACAGCGCGAAUUCAUCCCCGACAACAAGAAGGACGACAGCUAUUGGGAUAGAAGGCGAAGAAAUAACGAAGCUGCCAAGAGAUCUCGUGAAAAGAGGAGGUUGAACGACAUGGUGUUGCAAUCCCGUCUCAUAGAACUGGCCAAAGAGAACGCCAUGUUGAAAGCCGAACUGGUGGCUCUCAAAGAGAAGUACGGAAUGAGUGGACAGUGUCUAGUGGAUUCGGACCAGAUUGCCAUACCGAUUACCGAUUCGGCGGUACGAAAGAGUAAAAUCGUUUCCACGAGAGCCGCUCUGUCCGCUUAUUACAGAGGUUCGCAGCAGAGUUUCUCGUCUGGACAGAGCAGCGGAGAUCAAGAAUCGUGGUCGUCUCCCGACGACAGCCCACAGACUGUGGCAGUCAUCGCCACCAGUUGUCUGCCACACAAGUUACGUCACAAAUCACAUCUUAGCGAGAAAUCGGAUAGCGGAUACAGUAACAACAGCGCGCGCGAAGACAUAUCUGCCACGUCGGACGGAGAUAGCAGCGUGUUGAGUAACGAUACCCCAUCGCCCGGUAGCAGUGGCAGCAGCGGAGAUUCGGAUCGUUCGCCACAUUGCGAAAGAAGAAAACCUUCCAGACCAGAUUUACGUAACGAAAACUUCCAUUUAAGAUCCCAGUUACAACAAUUAGCUUCCGAAGUUGCAAGCUUGAAAACAAUGCUGAUGCAUCAGAGCAGCAACGGUGGCAGCAACGCCACGACCAACACCACCACCACCAAAACAACAACAGCAGCAGCCAAUAAUAAUAAUACUCACGAACAGAACCAAUCGAAAACUUAAAAAAAAGUGAAUGUUUUUAGUGUUUUACAUGAAAAAAUACAUACGGGAUAUGUGCAAAAUUUACCGUUUUUUAAAUCAUUAUUAUUAUUAUUAUUCACCGGUUAAACGUGUUACGUUAUCAAAAACGUCAGCAUGCACCGGUUAUCGUAAACUGUGUCCUACUUUUAACGACAUUCACCCACUUUCUGCAGCUGUGUUGACCUAAUUCUAGCAAAAGUGCGGCACAUUCGCCUCUAAGCUGCAUCAUCGCUGACGUCAACAGUUGAGCCACUGUUCUAAGAAGGCUUUUAUUCAUGGAUUGGACCCAAUUUGGAAUGACUAAACCCAUGAUAAGUGCAAUGGGUAAGAAUAGAUGAGGACCAAUAUUGGGAUGAACUAGCCACUGUAGUUACUCAAUGGCACAUUUAACAGUGGAUAAAAGCAUGAAUGUCAAAGUUUGUAGACAAAAAUAACAGAACUUAUUAAGAAAUAACUUGUUAUUUCUGUAAUAAAUUAUUUUUAAUUAAAAGAACAAGAAAUAAAGAGAAUUUUUACUGACUAUUUUCUUCAUAAAAGUACAUUAUAAACAUUAAUUAGAAUUACAUAGAUAAUGAUGAUGAAUACAAAUUGAGGUUUAUGCUGUGUAAUGUUUGACUUAAAAUUAUAUAAAUCAAUGGAAUUCAAUAAUAAACAAAUUAUUUUUACAAAAAAAAAAUAUAUUAAUUGGAAUAUAAAAUAGUCCAAAAAAUUUAGAUAUUCUCUCUCUGAUAUUU
Centruroides sculpturatus (bark scorpion) is the source of this 2568-nucleotide RNA transcript. It is a transcript of the gene named nuclear factor interleukin-3-regulated protein-like, with no coding region annotated. The transcript is spliced from 3 exons. The record is from RefSeq and is a predicted model, not a curated record. Lineage: Eukaryota; Metazoa; Arthropoda; Arachnida; Scorpiones; Buthidae.